Acomys russatus (golden spiny mouse) is the source of this 132-nucleotide small nucleolar RNA. RefSeq annotates it as small nucleolar RNA SNORA17. The record is from RefSeq and is a predicted model, not a curated record. Lineage: Eukaryota; Metazoa; Chordata; Mammalia; Rodentia; Muridae. The transcript has a single exon.
ACUGCCCCUAGAGGCUUUGAAGUUGCGGCUUCUGUGUCACAUGUGUGUCAGUAGGCGACAGAGAGGAGGGAGGCUGUGUCUCAGCUCAGUGUUAUGACCUGUGAACACCUGAAUGGUUAGUAGCCUAGCACU